AUUGAACGCUGGCGGCAUGCCUUACACAUGCAAGUCGAACGGCAGCACGGGUGCUUGCACCUGGUGGCGAGUGGCGAACGGGUGAGUAAAGCAUCGGAACGUACCCAGUCGUGGGGGAUAACGUAGCGAAAGUUACGCUAAUACCGCAUACGUCCUGAGGGAGAGAGCGGGGGAUCGCAAGACCUCGCGCGAUUGGAGCGGCCGAUGUCGGAUUAGCUAGUUGGUGAGGUAAAGGCUCACCAAGGCGACGAUCCGUAGCUGGUCUGAGAGGAUGAUCAGCCACACUGGAACUGAGACACGGUCCAGGCUCCUACGGGAGGCAGCAGUGGGGAAUUUUGGACAAUGGGCGAAAGCCUGAUCCAGCCAUGCCGCGUGAGUGAAGAAGGCCUUCGGGUUGUAAAGCUCUUUCAGACGGGAAGAAAAUGUACGGGCUAAUACCCGGUGCAGAUGACGGUACCGUAAGAAGAAGCACCGGCUAACUACGUGCCAGCAGCCGCAGUAA
Molecule: ribosomal RNA, 502 nt
Filed under: uncultured bacterium
Lineage: Bacteria
Description: partial 16S ribosomal RNA
Rfam family: Bacterial small subunit ribosomal RNA
Source: RNAcentral